UACGUAGGGGCCUAGCGUUGUCCGGAUUUAUUGGGCGUAAAGAGCUCGUAGGCGGUCUGUUACGUCUGCUGUGAAAACCCGGGGCUUAACCCUGGGCUUGCAGUGGAUACGGGCAGACUAGAGGCAGGUAGGGGAGAAUGGAAUUCCCGGUGUAGCGGUGAAAUGCGCAGAUAUCGGGAGGAACACCGGUGGCGAAGGCGGGUCUCUGGGCAGUAACUGACGCUGAGGAGCGAAAGCGUGGGGAGCGAACAGG
Molecule: ribosomal RNA, 253 nt
Filed under: uncultured bacterium
Lineage: Bacteria
Description: partial 16S ribosomal RNA
Rfam family: Bacterial small subunit ribosomal RNA
Source: RNAcentral